GUGCUCACUUCGGCAGCACAUAUACUAAAAUUGGAAUGAUACAGAGAAGAUUAGCAUGGCCCCUGUGCAAGGAUGACAUGUCUGAACCACCUACCGUACUAAACUGUG
Molecule: small nuclear RNA, 108 nt
Organism: Ochotona curzoniae (black-lipped pika)
Lineage: Eukaryota; Metazoa; Chordata; Mammalia; Lagomorpha; Ochotonidae
Source: RefSeq, a predicted model, not a curated record